AUUGAACGCUGGCGGCAGGCCUAACACAUGCAAGUCGAGCGGAUGAAGGGAGCUUGCUCCUGGAUUCAGCGGCGGACGGGUGAGUAAUGCCUAGGAAUCUGCCUGGUAGUGGGGGAUAACGUCCGGAAACGGGCGCUAAUACCGCAUACGUCCUGAUGGAGAAAGUGGGGGAUCUUCGGACCUCACGCUAUCAGAUGAGCCUAGGUCGGAUUAGCUAGUUGGUGGGGUAAAGGCCUACCAAGGCGACGAUCCGUAACUGGUCUGAGAGGAUGAUCAGUCACACUGGAACUGAGACACGGUCCAGACUACUACGGGAGGCAGCAGUGGGGAAUAUUGGACAAUGGGCGAGAGCCUGAUCCAGCCAUGCCGCGUGUGUGAAGAAGGUCUUCGGAUUGUAAAGCACUUUAAGUUGGGAGGAAGGGCAGUAAGUUAAUACCUUGCUGUUUUGACGUUACCAACAGAAUAAGCACCGGCUAACUUCGUG
This 484-nucleotide ribosomal RNA is filed under the name uncultured bacterium. RNAcentral's name for it is "partial 16S ribosomal RNA". It matches the Rfam family "Bacterial small subunit ribosomal RNA", at positions 30 to 507 of the family's 1533-position model. The record is from RNAcentral.